This is a long non-coding RNA of Cyanistes caeruleus (blue tit), 6852 nucleotides long. The record is from Ensembl. NCBI's taxonomy places the organism in Eukaryota, Metazoa, Chordata, Aves, Passeriformes, Paridae.
UCAACAAAUUCACCCCAAAAAUCAACAAAUUCACCCCAAAAAUCCACAAAUUCACCCCAAAAACCCCAAAUUCACCCCAAAAAUCCAAAAAUUCACCCCAAAAAACCCCAAAUUCACCCCAAAAACCCCAAAUUCACCCCAAAAAUCAACAAAUUCACCCCAAAUUCACCCCAAAAACCCCAAAAAUCAACAAAUUCACCCCAAAUUCACCCCAAAAACCCCAAAAAUCAACAAAUUCACCCCAAAAACCCCAAAUUCACCCCAAAUUCACCCCAAAUUCACCCCAAAAAUCCACAGAUUCACCCCAAAAUACCCCAAAUUCACCCCAAAAAUCAACAAAUUCACCCCAAAAACCCCAAAAACCCACAAAUUCACCCCAAAAUACCCCAAAUUCACCCCAAAUUCACCCCAAAAAUACAAAAAUUCACCCCAAAUUCACCUGUACCGGGAGGUGAGAGCCAAAAUCCCCCAAAUUCACCCCAAAAACCCCAAAUUCACCCCAAAAAUCCACAAAUUCACCCCAAAUUCACCUGUACCGGGAGGUGAGAGCCAAAAUCCCCCAAAUUCACCCCAAAAAACCCCAAAUUCACCCCAAAAUCCCACAAAUUCACCCCAAAAUACCCCAAAAUCCCACAAAUUCACCCCAAAAUACCCCAAAAAUCCACAAAUUCACCCCAAAAUACCCCAAAUUCACCCCAAAUUCUCCCCAAAUUCACCCCAAAUUCACCUGUACCGGGAGGUGAGAGCCAAAAUCCCCCAAAUUCACCCCAAAAACCCCCAAAAAUCAACAAAUUCCCCAAAUUCACCCCAAAUUCACCUGUACCGGGAGAACCCCGGCUCGCACCAGUUCGAGGAGCAGCCGAUCCAGCUGCUCUUCCCCGAGCUGCAGGACGUCCCCAGCACGUAGGGGCCUUCAUCCUCCUCGCCUUCCUCACCCUCAUCCUCAUCCUCAUCUUCCUCACCUUCCUCAUCCUCACCCUCACCCUCAUCCUCACCCUCAUCCUCAUCCUCAUCCUCAUCUUCCUCCUCCUCCUCCUCGCCUUCCUCAUCCUCAUCCUCAUCCUCGCCUUCAUCCUCAUCAUCCUCACCUUCAUCCUCAUCCUCAUCCUCAUCCUCAUCCUCAUCCUCACCUUCAUCCUCAUCCUCAUCCUCAUCCUCACCUUCAUCCUCAUCCUCACCUUCAUCCUCAUCCUCACCCUCAUCCUCAUCUUCCUCACCUUCAUCAUCCUCACCCUCAUCCUCAUCCUCAUCUUCCUCCUCCUCUUCCUCCUCAUCUUCCUCAUCCUCCUCCUCGCCUUCCUCAUCCUCAUCCUCAUCCUCAUCCUCAUCUUCCUCCUCCUCUUCCUUCUCCUCCUCAUCUUCCUCAUCCUCAUCUUCCUCCUCUUCUUCCUCAUCUUCCUCUUCAUCCUCAUCCUCAUCUUCAUCUUCCUCCUCCUCCUCCUCUUCCUCCUCUUCCUCCUCCUCUUCCUCCUCUCCUCUUUCUCCUCUUUUUCUACUUCAUCUUCUUUCUCCUCCUCAUCCUCAUCUUCUUCUUCCUCCUCUUCAUCUUCCUCUUCACCUUCAUCUUCCUCCUCCUCAUCUUCCUCCUCUUCCUCUUCGUCCUCCUCCUCCUCCUCUUCUUAUUCCUCAUCCCCAUUUUUCCCAUUUUUUUUCCCAUUUUUUCCCCAUUUUUCCCAUUUUUUUUCCCAUUUUUUCCCCAUUUUUUUCCCCCAUUUUCCCCCUUUAUUCCCAUCAUUCUCUGGCUCCAUUUCCAUCCCCAUUUUUCCCAUUUUUUUCCCCUAUUUUUUUCCCCAUUUUUCCCAUUUUUUCCCCCAUUUUUCCCAUUUUUUUCCCCAUUUUUUUCCCCAUUUUCCCCAUUUUUUUCCCAUUUUUUUCCCAUUUUUUUCCCCAUUUUCCCAUCAUUCUGUGGCUCCAUUUCCAUCCCCAUUUUUCCCAUUUUUCCCCAUUUUUCCCCAUUUUCCCAUCAUUCUCUGGUUCCAUUUCCAUCCCCAUUUUUCCCAUUUUUUUUCCCAUUUUUUUCCCCAUUUUUUUCCCCAUUUUUUUCCCCAUUUUUCCCCAUUUUUCCCAUUUUUGCCCCAUUUCUUUUCCCCAUUUUUCCCCAUUUUCCCAUCUUUCUCUGGCUCCAUUUCCAUCCCCAUUUUUCCCAUUUUUUUCCCCCAAUUUUUUCCCCUUUUUUCCAUUUUUUUCCCCAUUUUUUUCCCCAUUUUCCCCCCAUUUUUCCCAUUUUUUUCCCCAUUUUUUCCCCAUUUUUCCCAUUUUUCCCAUUUUUUCCCCAUUUUUUUCCCCAUUUUUCCCCCAUUUUUCCCAUUUUUUCCCCAUUUUUUCCCCAUUUUCCCCAUUUUUUUCCCAUUUUUUUCCCCAUUUUUCCCAUUUUUUCCCCCAUUUUUCCCAUUUUUUUCCCCAUUUUUUACCCCAUUUUCCCCAUUUCUUUCCCCAUUUUUUUCCCCAUUUUUCCCAUUUUUUAUCCCCAUCAUUCUCUGGCUCCAUUUUUCCCAUUUUUCCCAUUUUUCCCGUUUUUUCCCCCUUUAUCCCCAUCAUUCUCUGGCUCCAUUUCCAUCCCCAUUUUUCCCAUUUUUUUCCCCCAUUUUUUCCCCAUUUUUCAAAUUUUUUUCCCCCAUUUUUUCCCCAUUUUCCCCAUUUUUUUCCCAUUUUUUUCCCCAUUUUUCCCAUUUCUUUCCCCAUUUUUUUUCCCCAUUUUUCCCAUUUUUUUCCCAUUUUUUUCCCAUUUUUUUCCCCAUUUUCCCAUCAUUCUGUGGCUCCAUUUCCAUCCCCAUUUUUCCCAUUUUUCCCCAUUUUUUCCCCGUUUUCCCAUCAUUCUCUGGCCCCAUUUCCAUCCCCAUUUUUCCCAUUUUCCCCCAUUUUUCCCCCAUUUUUCCCAUUUUUUUCCCCAUUUUUUUCCCCAUUUUUCCCAUUUUUUUUCCCAUUUUUUUCCCCAUUUUUUUCCCCAUUUUUUCCCCAUUUUCCCAUCAUUCUCUGGCUCCAUUUUUCCCAUUUUCCCCUGUUUUUUCCCCAUUUUCCCAUCAUUCUCUGGCUCCAUUUUUCCCAUUUUUCCCUGUUUUUUCCCCAUUUUCCCAUCAUUCUCUGGCUCCAUUUUUCCCAUUUUUCCCAUUUUUUCCCCCGUUUUCCCAGCGUUCUCUGGCUCCACGUCCAGCCCCUGUAUCCCCAUCAUUCUCUGGCUCCAUUUCCAUUCCCAUUUUUUUCCCAUUUUCCCCAUUUUUUCCCCCGUUUUCCCAGCGUUCUGUGGCUCCAUUUCCAUCCCGAUUUUUCCCAUUUUCCCCGUUUUUUUCCCCGUUUUCCCAGCGUUCUGUGGCUCCACGUCCAGCCCCUGUAUCCCCAUCAUUCUCUGGCUCCAUUUCCAUCCCAUUUUUCCCAUUUUUCCCUGUUUUUUCCCCAUUUCCCCAUCAUUCUCUGGCUCCAUUUUUCCCAUUUUUUCCCCCAUUUUUUCCCCAUUUUUUCCCCAUUUUUCCCCAUUUUCCCAUCAUUCUCUGGCUCCAUUUCCAUCCCCAUUUUUCCCAUUUUUCCCUGUUUUUUCCCCAUUUUUUUCCCCUGUAUCCCCAUCAUUCUCUGGCUCCAUUUCCAUCCCGAUUUUUCCCAUUUUUCCCAUUUUUUCCCCCGUUUUCCCAGCGUUCUCUGGCUCCACGUCCAGCCCCUUUAUUCCCAUCAUUCUCUGGCUCCAUUUCCAUCCCGAUUUUUCCCAUUUUUCCCCGUUUUUUCCCCGUUUUCCCAGCGUUCUCUGGCUCCAUUUCCAUCCUGAUUUUUCCCAUUUUUCCCUGUUUUUUCCCCGUUUUCCCAGCGUUCUGUGGCUCCACGUCCAGCCCCUGUAUCCCCAUCAUUCUCUGGCUCCAUUUUUCCCAUUUUUCCCAUUUUUUCCCCCAUUUUUUCCCCAUUUUUCCCGUUUUUUUCCCCAUUUUCCCAUCAUUCUCUGGCUCCAUUUCCAUCCCCAUUUUCCCCAUUUUUCCCUGUUUUUCCCCGUUUUCCCAGCGUUCUGUGGCUCCAUUUCCAUCCCCAUUUUUCCCAUUUUUCCCUGUUUUUUCCCCAUUUUCCCAUCAUUCUCUGGCUCCAUUUUUCCCAUUUUUCCCCGUUUUUUCCCCGUUUUCCCAGCGUUCUGUGGCUCCACGUCCAGCCCCUGUAUCCCCAUCAUUCUCUGGCUCCAUUUUCCCCAUUUUUCCCAUUUUUCCCCAUUUUUUUCCCCAUUUUCCCAUCAUUCUCUGGCUCCAUUUCCAUCCCCAUUUUUCCCAUUUUUUCCCCCAUUUUUCCCAUUUUUUUUCCCAUUAUUUUUCCCCCAUUUUUUCCCCACAUUUUUCCCCAUUUUCCCAUCAUUCUCUGGCUCCAUUUUUCCCAUUUUUCCCCGUUUUUUCCCCGUUUUCCCAGCGUUCUCUGGCUCCACGUCCAGCCCCUGUAUCCCCAUCAUUCUCUGGCUCCAUUUUCCCCAUUUUUCCCAUUUUUCCCCAUUUUUUUCCCCAUUUUUCCCAUUUUUUUCCCCAUUUUUUUCCCCAUUUUCCCCAUUUUUUCCCCAUUUUUUUCCACAUUUUUCCCCAUUAUUUUCCCAUCAUUCUCUGGCUCCAUUAUUCCCAUUUUUCCCGGUUUUUUCCCCAUUUAUCCCCAUCAUUCUCUGGCUCCAUUUCCAUCCCCAUUUUUCCCAUUUUCCCUCAUUUUUCCCCCAUUUUUCCCAUUUUUUUCCCCAUUUUUUUCCCCAUUUUUCACAUUUUUUUUCCCAUUUCUUUCCCCAUUUUUUCCCCACAUUUUUCCCCAUUUAUCCCCAUCAUUCUCUGGCUCCAUUUUUCCCAUUUUUCCCUGUUUUUUCCCCCAUUUUUUCCCCAUUUUUCCCGUUUUUUUCCCCAUUUUCCCAUCAUUCUCUGGCUCCAUUUCCAUCCCCAUUUUCCCCAUUUUUCCCUGUUUUUCCCCGUUUUCCCAGCGUUCUGUGGCUCCAUUUCCAUCCCGAUUUUUCCCAUUUUUCCCUGUUUUUUCCCCGUUUUCCCAGCGUUCUGUGGCUCCACGUCCAGCCCCUGUAUCCCCAUCAUUCUCUGGCUCCAUUUUUCCCAUUUUUCCCACUUUUUUCCCCAUUUUUUCCCCAUUUUUCCCCAUUUUCCCAUCAUUCUCUGGCUCCAUUUCCAUCCCCAUUUUUCCCAUUUUUCCCAUUUUUUUCCCCAUUUAUCCCCAUCAUUCUCUGGCUCCAUUUUUCCCAUUUUUCCCUGUUUUUCCCCCGUUUUCCCAGCGUUCUGUGGCUCCAUUUCCAUCCCGAUUUUUCCCAUUUUUCCCCGUUUUUUCCCCGUUUUCCCAGCGUUCUGUGGCUCCACGUGCAGCCCCUGUAUCCCCAUCAUUCUCUGGCUCCAUUUUUCCCAUUUUUCCCUGUUUUUUCCCCGUUUUCCCAGCGUUCUCUGGCUCCACGUCCAGCCCCUGUAUCCCCAUCAUUCUCUGGCUCCAUUUUUCCCAUUUUCCCCUGUUUUUUCCCCGUUUUCCCAUCAUUCUCUGGCUCCAUUUUUCCCAUUUUUUCCCCAUUUUUCCCCUGUAUCCCCAUCAUUCUCUGGCUCCAUUUCCAUCCCGAUUUUUCCCAUUUUUCCCAUUUUUUCCCCCGUUUUCCCAGCGUUCUCUGGCUCCACGUCCAGCCCCUUUAUUCCCAUCAUUCUCUGGCUCCAUUUCCAUCCCGAUUUUUCCCAUUUUUCCCAUUUUUUUCCCCGUUUUCCCAUUUUUUUCCCCAUUUUUUUCCCCAUUUUUCCCGUUUUUUCCCCGUUUCCCCAGCGUUCUCUGGCUCCAUUUCCAUCCCUAUUUUCCCCAUUUUUUUCCCCAUUUCUUUCGCCAUUUUUCCCAUUUUUUUUCCCAUUUUUUUUCCCCCAUUUUUUCCCCACAUUUUUCCCCAUUUUCCCAUCAUUCUCUGGCUCCAUUUUUCCCAUUUUUCCCCGUUUUUCCCCCGUUUUCCCAGCGUUCUCUGGCUCCACGUCCAGCCCCUGUAUCCCCAUCAUUCUCUGGCUCCAUUUUUCCCAUUUUUCCCACUUUUUUUCCCAUUUUUCCCUGUUUUUCCCCGUUUUCCCAGCGUUCUCUGGCUCCACGUCCAGCCCCUUUAUUCCCAUCAUUCUCUGGCUCCAUUUCCAUCAUUCUCUGGCUCCAUUUUUCCCAUUUUUCCCCGUUUUUUCCCCGUUUUCCCAGCGUUCUGUGGCUCCACGUCCAGCCCCUGUAUCCCCAUCAUUCUCUGGCUCCAUUUUUCCCAUUUUUCCCUGUUUUUUCCCCGUUUUCCCAUCAUUCUCUGGCUCCAUUUCCAUCCCGAUUUUUCCCAUUUUCCCCUGUUUUUCCCCGUUUUCCCAGCGUUCUGUGGCUCCACGUCCAGCCCCUGUAUCCCCAUCAUUCUCUAGCUCCAUUUUUCCCAUUUUUUUCCCCAUUUUUUCCCCAUUUCCCCAUCAUUCUCUGGCUCCAUUUCCAUCCCCAUUUUUCCCAUUUUUCCCUGUUUUUUCCCCGUUUUCCCAGCGUUCUGUGGCUCCACAUGCAGCCCCUGUUUUCCCAUCAUUCUCUGGCUCCAUUUUUCCCAUUUUUCCCUGUUUUUUCCAUUUAUCCCCAUCAUUCUCUGGCUCCAUUUUUCCCAUUUUUCCCUGUUUUUUCCCCAUUUUCCCCAUUUUUUUCCCAUUUUUUUCCCCAUUUUUCCCAUUUCCCAUUAUUUUUCCCCAUUUUUUCCCCACAUUUUUCCCCAUUUUCCCAUCAUUCUCUGGCUCCAUUUUUCCCAUUUUUCCCUGUUUUUUCCCCAUUUAUCCCCAUCAUUCUCUGGCUCCAUUUUUCCCAUUUUUCCCCGUUUUUCCCCCGUUUUCCCAGCGUUCUGUGGCUCCACGUCCAGCCCCUGUAUCCCCAUCAUUCUCUGGCUCCAUU